CCUACGGGUGGCAGCAGUCGGGAAUAUUGCGCAAUGGAGGAAACUCUGACGCAGUGACGCCGCGUGCAGGAAGACGGUUUUCGGAUUGUAAACUGCUUUAGACAGGGAAGAAAAAAGACAGUACCUGUCGCAUAAGCACCGGCUAACUCCGUGACAGCAGCCGCGGUAAUACGUAGGGAGCAAGCGUUAUCCGGGUUUAUUGGGUGUAAAGGGUGCGUAGACGGAGAAGCAAGUGAGUUGUGAAAUCCCGCGGCUUAACUGAGGAACUGCAACUAAAACUAGUACCCUUGAGUACUGGAGAGGAGAGUGGAAUUCGUAGUGUAGCGGUGAAAUGCUUAGAUAUUAGGAGGAACACCAGUGGCGAAGGCGACUUUCUGGACAGUAACUGACGUUGAGGCACGAAAGUGUGGGGAGCAAACAGGAUUAGAUACCCUGGUAGUC
This 441-nucleotide ribosomal RNA is filed under the name uncultured bacterium. RNAcentral describes it as "partial 16S ribosomal RNA". It matches the Rfam family "Bacterial small subunit ribosomal RNA", at positions 338 to 795 of the family's 1533-position model. The record is from RNAcentral.